UAACUCUGGUGUCUCCUCAUUUGCGGAUAAAUCUUUCGCCUUUUACUAAAGAUUUCCGUGGGGAGGCACAAUAUAAUGAGUUUUGCCUCAUUUUUUUCAGCUCUGUCUUUGGAUGGAGU
Molecule: small nuclear RNA, 119 nt
Filed under: Trichobilharzia regenti
Lineage: Eukaryota; Metazoa; Platyhelminthes; Trematoda; Strigeidida; Schistosomatidae
Description: U5 spliceosomal RNA
Rfam family: U5 spliceosomal RNA
About the family: U5 RNA is a component of both types of known spliceosome. The precise function of this molecule is unknown, though it is known that the 5' loop is required for splice site selection and p220 binding, and that both the 3' stem-loop and the Sm site are important for Sm protein binding and cap methylation.
Source: Rfam by way of RNAcentral